GCUCAUUGUCUUAACAUUCCCAAAAGAAACUGUAGUGUACUUUUAGAGAAUCAAUAGUGCACUUUUAGAGAAUCAAUAGUAACAGAGACGGCUGCCUGAAGAGUCCAAGGAAUCUAGUUCUAUUCAAUAGCAUUUACUUAGCUAAGCUUAAUAGAGCAGCAAGAAAGACAAGUACUCCUUACUACAAUUGAAGAUCUGUCCUCUGAUGGAUGCGUGGUCACAUGGAGAAUAAAGUGCUUCCAGGAGAAGUAAAAACAAACAUUCUUUAUUUUUAUAUUUUAUACAUCUCUCUGUCUUAGACGGAUGGGGCUUUUUACAACAGCAUGAAGAAAUUCAGAACCAAUUAGAUGACUUCCAAAACUCUCAACCAUUUUGAAGGCUUGAGAAGGCAAGUGGUGGGGAUAAGAAGAAUGAGAAGAAUUUCUUCAGAGUGAGCUAUUCUGCUUUUCUUCUAAACAAAGGGAGGAGACUGCCCCUUCUUUAUUUAAAAUCAAGAUGAUGCUAUAAGGAAACUUCUAGAAAUCUUUGCGUACACGGUGAACUGGUUUCUAAUUCAUGAUAGACAGCUGGCAGAGCCAGGCUAAAGUGGUGUAAGAUAGUAAAAUAAAGGUAUCUUUUGGACUCUAUUUGUUGAAGUAAAAAAUACAAGAUAUUUUUCUUUGUACCUGAUAUAGGCCAUACUUUCAAGAAAGUCUGCAUAGGGUUUUCUUAAACCCUAUACAUGAUAGACACCUGAAAGAAUUAGGGAACUUUUGUAGUAGAAUACUGAUUACCUAAGAAUGUGGGAGAAAUCACAAGCAAUCACUUGAUUGCACAGGAAAUAUGUGCUGUUGUCAAGGGAACUAAUAGACAUUGGCAGAGAUGGGAAACUUUCUUAAUAACCCAUCAAGGUGCUGACAGAGUAAAUCUACAAAGCGUAAUGAAUGAUACAUCAUCGUGAUGGUCCUAGUCAAGUGAGAACUCUCCUGGAGAGUUGUCACUCCUCCCUCUCCACAACUCUAAACACAGAAGAAUGUGGAGGCUCCAAAACUGUGGUUAGGGAGGGGAGGAAGAAGUUGAGAAAAAGACCUAUAUGAAAGGAAAGAGGGAUACAACCAUAGACAUUCCCUUCUCUGAAUUCAGAUUUUGCAACUUGUGCUUCUUGACUUAAAUGCUUAUUUUGUCUUGUAUUGAUCCAGCUUCUUCACCUUACUUUUACUUAAUAUUCACAUCUUGUACCUUCUUCCAUUUCUUUAAAACUAUUUGUUCUCUCAUAAUUCAUGCUUGCUUCAAGCAAGAAUUAUAUUUUGGUUUGUUUUCUUCACUGGAAUCCAAUGACAUUAGCAUUCAAAGCACUUAUACAUGUUAACCCAAAAUGUCUGAGACAGGUCUCAGUCAUUUUAGAAAGUUUAUUUUGCCAAGGUUAAGGACACACCAGUGACAUAGCCUCAGGAAGUCUUGAUAACAUGUGUCCAAGGUGGUCGGGGGUAUAGUUUGUUUUAUACAUUUUAGGGAGACACGAGACAUCAAUCAAUAUGUGAAGGAUAUGCACUGGUUCAGUCUGGUAAGGCAGGAUAACUUGAAGUGGGGGCUUCCAGGUUAGAAGUAGAUAAGAGACAAAAGGUUGCAUUCUUUUGAGUCCUUAAUCAGCCUCCCACUGAAUAUACAAUUUAGUCUGGCUCAGUGAAUCUGCAUUUUUACAUAAACAAUAGGGCAGAGGAAGCAAUCAGAUAUGCAUUUGUCUCAGGUCAGCUUAGAUGAUGACUUUGAGUUCUGUCUGUCCUUUGUCCACAAGGAAUUUCCUGUCGGUAAAUUGUGAGGAAGGUGUGUAUCUUCUUUGUAGCUAAAAUGGGAGGCAGGCUCGCCUGACAUAGUUCCCAGCUUGACUGUUCCCUUGGCUUAGUGAUUUGGGGGACUGGGGUCUAUUUUCCUUUCACAUACAUAAUGUCAUUACUGAGACACUGAUUUAUGUCUUCUGUCAUAAUGAUUAUGUCCUCCUUAGCACUUCUGCCUUAUGUUCCCCUUUCAUUCAUUUCUUUACAUCUUUUGCAUUAAUUCCGUAUUGUUAUUAUUGCGUUUUCCCUUCAAUUAACUUUCUACAUAUAUAUUUACAAAAUUACAAUGAUUUAGUGGUAGCCCUUGACUUGUCAUAGACUAAUACAAAUGUCUCUGGUCCUGCUAGAAUUCAUGUACCUUUUCACUUUGCUUAUCCUGCUAUGUAUUUUAUACAUAAUUGCUUUGCAUUUUAUUUUUACAUAUAUUUUGAGUUGCACAAAACCUUUUUUUUACAACCAAUAUUGUUUAUUAUGGGCUUAUAUAUUUACCCUUCCUAAUGUAUUUCAUUCCUUCCCUUAGUUUCAUUUUUUAAUCUAGAAUUAUUUUCCUUCAUCCUGAAGAUAAAGUAUUUCUUGCAGAAAAACCAACUGGCAAAAAAAAAAAAAAAAAAAAAAAAAAAAAAGUUAAUGGCCUAAACUUUUGUUUUCCUGAAUGCAAGCCUUUAAUGGUAAUAAAUAUUUCUGCUGGAUUAGAAUUUUAAAUUGGCAGGGUUUUGUUUUGUUUCUUUCGACAAAAGAAACAAACAACAAAAAUUUAUUGGCUUAAACAACAAAAAUUUAUUUCCCAGCUUGCCAAGUGUUCCACAAAACUGUAACAUUGGCCAGGCACGGUGGCUCAUGCCUGUAAUCCCAGCACUUUGGGAGGCCGAGGCAGGAGGAUCACAAGGUCAGGAGAUCAAGACCAUCCUGGCUAACAUGGUCAAACCCCGUCGCCACUAAAAACACAAAAAAUUAGCUGGGCGUGGUGGCGGGCACCUGUAGUCCCAGCUACUGGGGAGGCUGAGGCAGGAGAAUGGCGAGAACCCGGGAGGCGGAGCUGGCAGUGAGCUGAGAUUGCGCCACUCAACUCCAGCCUGGGAGACAGUGAGACUCCAUAUCAAAAAAAAAAAAAAAAAAAAACUGUAACAUUAUGGAUGUAUAUAUUUUAAGCUGCUAAAUUUGUGGUAAUUUGUUACUUCGUAAUAGAAACAUAAAAUACUCCCUUCUUGCUCCCCUGGAAGUUACCUGUACACUAAGCCUAAAACCUGAAGGAGAUCUGUUUUGAUCGUCAGAUUUUCUCAGCCCAGGCCCAGUCUCCUGACCACAUAGCUUCAGAUUGUGACACCUGUUUUGAAGGGGACACUGACAGUGAGCAUAAAACACUUCUCCUGCUGGUUUUGUCUUUCCAGCAAGGUGUCUUUUGUGAAAAUUUUGAAAACCUUGUAUUUAUUGCUUCUACAGUUCUCUGAUGCAUUCAAUUACAUGUUUUAGUAAUUUGUCCCCUUUCAUCUAAUUGAUGCCUCCGGGAAUGUUAACUUUCACCCACCUCAUUCUGUCCUGAACUAGAUAAUUUAAUUACUAAUUACUAAUUUUGCACGUAGUGACUUCAAGUUACUUCAUUUUUUUUCUUUUUUUCUUUCUUUUUUUUUUUUUUUUUUUAGGACAGAGUCUCAUUCUGUCAUCCAGGCUGGAUUGCACUGGGCACUGGUGCAAUCUCGGCUCACUGCAACCUCCACCUCCUGGGAUCAAACGAUUCUCAUGCCUCAGCCUCCAGAGUAGCUGGAAUUACAGGUGCACACCACCACACCAGGCUAACUUUUGUAUUUUUAGUAGAGACAGGGUUUUGUCAUGUUGGCCAGGGCUGGUCUUGAACUCCUGACUUCAAGUGAUCUACCCACCUUGGCCUCCCAAAGCAAUAUGUUUACUAUUGAGAAAUUUACAUUUCUGACCAAAAAUUUGAUCCUGGUAAAGGGAAAGACUAACUUCUAUGGGAUAAACUUAAAGCAUGAUUGGGAGAGAAAAUAAAGUUGCUUCAAGAUAUUUUGUUCUUAUGUGAUGCUUGUUUAAUGGAAAUGUAAGUGUAUGUGUACAUGGAUGUGUGCUUGCAUGCUUUUAUUGAUGUAAAGACACAUUUUAAAACAGAAAAAAUAUUUAAUGGACACAUGCAAAGUUUUAGACUCCUGUACUUUUGAGUCCUAGUACUGAGCAUUUAAAAUUAUUUUUCAUGUUCCCUAAAUUUCUAUGAAGAGAUCACCCUGCUUUUACACUUCUGUAUUAUGAAAGAUUCCACAUAAGAAUAAAUAAAUCACCUUAAAAAGUUAGACUUCAUAUGCUAACAUCCGUGGAGCUCUCUGACAGGGCUACAAACCAGCUCCAUAUCUCCACUCUGAAUCAAUACUGUUGGUCUUUACUCAAGUUUGUGGUAAGUAAUCAGCAAUAAAGGAUUAAUAUACUCCGGUAUAAUGAGAGGCUGUGGUCAGCACACCCCUCAGGAUGAUGACUUAAAAAGUCAACAUUUUUCAAUCUGAAUUCUGCAACCCUUAGUUCUGCCUUUCCCUCAUCCUCAGUUCAUUCUUUGACUCAACACUAACAGAAAACAGUUCUCUAAUCCUUUAAGGGGAAGUCGUGAGGUGGAAUUUUUAAAAUAUGUUUACCCCGAGGUGUUUUUUUUUAAGUUGAAUUUAUGAAUUAUAUUUUGGGGAGCUGACACACAAGCUUAGGCAGAUCAGCAUGCUGUCAGGAUGGUGGACAUGAUAAGUUUAAUUAUCGUGAAAUUAGGCGCCGGGCGCCGUGGCUCACGCCUGUAAUCCCAGCACUUUGGGAGUCCAAGGCGGGCAGAUCAGGAGGUCAGGAGAUCGAGACCAUCCUGGCUAACAUGGUGAAACCCCGUCUCUACUAAAAAUACAAAAAAUAUUAGCAGGGCGUGGUGGCGGGCGCCUGUAGUCCCAGCUACUUGGGAAGCUGAGGCAGGAGAAUGGCGUGAACCCAGGAGGCGGAGCUUGCAGUGAGCCGUGAUUGUGCCACUGGACUCCAGCCUGGGCGACAGAGCGAGACUCCGUCUCAAAAAAAAGAAAAAGAAACGAAAUUAGGCUAACUUGGGGGCAACAGGCUUGUAACCAGACCUGUCUUCUGUGCAGAAAAGUAACCAAGACACAGAACGACUCUCAAGUUCUGAACAUGCGCAUCCUGUUCCGGAAGUAGAGCAAAAAAGGCAUCUUAAGCAAACUAUUAUUUUUGGGGAGAAGGAAAGCAAUUAACGAAGCCUCUUGACAUUUCAUGUCUUAGUGAAUUGAUUUGAUUAUAUUUGAUGACACUAAUCAUAUUAAGAAAUCCAAGCAGACAAGUAGGUGAUGUGAAAGCUGUUUGUCAAUUUACAGCAGGGUCCCAGUGAAUAAUUUAGAGACAAUAUGGACAGCCAGGACAGCUUUUGAUUUUAGAAUUUGGAAAAAGAAAGGUCCCAUGUUCUUAGACAGUGGUGCAGGGGAUAAGGCAGUUUAUAAGGUAGAUACUGGGACACAGGGAAUUCAAUGACAAAAACUGAGAUACACACAAAAAAGCAAGGACUGGGUGACCAAAGCUGAAUGUCUUUUUGGGAAUAAGUUUGAGAACAAGCUAGAAGGGAGAUUACUAGAGCUGACACUCACAAAAUCACAUUCAGAGAAACACUAAUGGUAAAAAUACUAAAUCUCAAAGUGAGGGAUUUGCUGUUCACAUUACUCUUGACCGAGAUUAAAAUUGGUCCUAGAAUUCUGGUGAGAAUAAACUUUCAAGUUGGCUAGAUGUUUCUCCAAUGGUAAUAUAGACAGGAGAAACUGAAGAGCAAUAAAUUGGCUAAUCAGGGCUUCCACAAAAUUCUCUUGAAAAAUUUAAUUCUGUACACUGAAGUUAUCAAAAAUCAUUUUAUUUAAAUUAUUUUUAAAGUCAGUUUGAAUCAAAACAGUAGCAUUAAGUAUAAAAGGUAUAAAUUGCUUAGAUUUUUUCUGUAACCUCAAAUAAACUAAGUUUAAAUAUAAUAGUAAGUAUUCAAAAACUUAAAAUGUAGUCAUAUUCUAAAUUUGUCAUAAAGUGGUCCAUUAUGUUCAGCAAAGUUUAUAUUUGAAAGAGCCAUAAGAACACCUGGAGUAAAUUAGGUUAUCACCUUAUAAUGAAAAAUAAGAAUACAACAAAAAAUAUCUCAAUUAUAUUGGAAUAAGUUGGAGAUACUGAACAAAUCUGUUAAUAGGAUAAUUGUAGGCAUAUAAAAGUGAUUAAAGAAUAAUACAAAAUCUUAAUGCUAAUCAUACUUCUCUAUUUUAAAUACUUCACAAUUAUCAAAUUCAUCAAUUUAUAUAACAUUGUUUUUUAUCGUUUGCAAUAUUUAAGACACAGAUAAGUACCAAUCUUGCUAUGGUAUUCUACUAUUGAACAUAUAAAGUAAAAAAGCAAUGUGAAGAUAACACAUAUAGAAUUUCAAAUAAAAUACUGUUUCAGAUUAGAAAGACAACAGUUAGAUUAGAUUAUAACCUAAACAUCAAAAUUUUACUUUAAGUAUAUUAACAAUAUAAUUAGAAUUAAUUUAUAAAAUACACAGACUAUUUUUAAAGAAAAGGCAUAUUUUCAGUAAAUUUUAACAUGUGCUUUUUUGCAGCAGUAAUUUACACUACAAAGGAUAAUAUAUGAAGGAAAAGAGAGUAAAGGGAAAAUAGUCAAGUUGGAUUUAGACUACACUACACUGAAUGAUGUGUUUGUAAAACUCCAGGAUCCUUCUUAAAAUUUAGCUUAUGUUCAGGAAGAAAUCUAAUUAUCAGGCUGCUAACAAACAAAUGAAAGCUCAGCUCAGGGUCUAAACCAAGAUAACUGAAGUGUCUUCACAGUUUUGGCACUAAUUGGUCGUUUACAGCCCAGGGAAUUUUUAGAACUGACACCAAGAAAAUGAAAGGCUUUUGCUUAGUCACUGAUGUUUAAGUGACAAAAGGCAACAGCAAAGACAAUCUUUCUCCUAGGGAAGAUUUGAGAAGUUCUGCAAAAACUGUUAAACUAAUGUAUCUAUAAAUAUCUGUGCAGUUUUAUUUGCUGCCUUUUCUUUAUUGCAUACAUAUAAGGUUACCUAUAUAGUGUUUUGACAUACAUAUGCAUAGCGGACUGAUUACUACAGUCAAACAAAUGAACAUAUCUAUCAUCUCACACGUUUGAUUUGUAUGCAUAUAUGUAUGUGCGAGUGUGGUAAGAGCACCUAAAGUCUACUCUCUUAAUACAUUUUCAGUAUAUAAUACACAAUUAUUAAAUAUAGUCCUCAUGCUGUAUAUUAGAUCUCUAGUUUAUUCAUUCUGACCCAUAUGUCCCCAUGCGCCCCCCAAUACCCUGCCCCAGUAAUCACCACUCUAAUCUCUAUUUUUAUGUAUGCAACUUUUUAAUUUUAAAAUUCCACAUAUACCUGAGAUCAUGCAGUAUUUUUCUUUCUGAGUCUGGCUUAUUUCAUUUAGCAUAAUGUCUUUCUGACUCAUUCAUGUCAAUGCAAAUGACAGGAUCACUUCUUUAAACUGAAUAAUGUUCCAGUG
This 7330-nucleotide long non-coding RNA is filed under the name Homo sapiens (human). RNAcentral describes it as "HSALNT0127960". Lineage: Eukaryota; Metazoa; Chordata; Mammalia; Primates; Hominidae. The record is from RNAcentral.